RNAcentral lists this ribosomal RNA (527 nucleotides) under Variolipallium sp. MNHN IM 2013-59973. RNAcentral describes it as "partial large subunit ribosomal RNA". It matches the Rfam family "Bacterial large subunit ribosomal RNA", at positions 1815 to 2619 of the family's 2925-position model. Lineage: Eukaryota; Metazoa; Mollusca; Gastropoda; Littorinimorpha; Velutinidae. The record is from RNAcentral.
AUGGCUCUCUGGUUACCUAAUAUAGAGAGUCUAGCCUGCCCGGUGAAUUACUUUUAACGGCCGCGGUACUCUGACCGUGCGAAGGUAGCAUAAUCAUUUGUCUUAUAAUUGAAGUCUAGAAUGAAUGGUUUCACAAGAGUAAAUCUGUCUCUUUUUUUUUGCUAGAACUUUAUUAAUAAGUUAAAAAGCUUAUAUCCGAUUAAUAGACGAGAAGACCCUAUCGAGCUUAAGGAAAUUUAUAGAACUCUUAACAUUAAUGAAAACAGAGCAUCUAAAAAACUUUGGUUGGGGCGACAUGAGAACAAAUAAAGCUUCUCUUUUUCUUAGAACUUAUAGGUCCAGACCCAUUAAUAAUGAUUAAAAGAAUUAGUUACCGUAGGGAUAACAGCAUAAUCUUUUUUGAGAGCUCAAAUCGAAAAAGAGGUUUGUGACCUCGAUGUUGGACCAAGAUAACCUAAAGUUGCAAAAGACUUUAAAGGUUGGUCUGUUCGACCAUUAAAAUCUUACGUGAUCUGAGUUCAGACCGG